Molecule: long non-coding RNA, 1117 nt
Filed under: Mus musculus (house mouse)
Lineage: Eukaryota; Metazoa; Chordata; Mammalia; Rodentia; Muridae
Description: RIKEN cDNA 4930420G21 gene
Source: RNAcentral
ACAGACAUGGAAUGGAUAUAGCAAAGGAUGACACAGAGACAAAGUCUGGUGCAGUAGGCAACCUCUACUGAUCAUGAAGGUGUCUUGCAAACUGGAUCCACUGGGUAGAAGCAAUGCAGAACAGCUUGACAGCUGAAGGAUAUCAUUGUCAACACAAGGAAUCUACAUCACACAUGCCAUGGGAAGCUGACACUGCCUCAUUCUACUCAUAGGGGCCUUACAACUGCAGGACUCUUAUAUGUCUUAUCCUACAUUGGGAUCCCUGCUUGUGACAGAAGUUCCCCAUUCCAGAUGGAGCUCCCUAGCACAAAACAUCAACAGGCCACAAGUGACAGCUGCAACAGCAGUGGAGCAAAGCAAACUGUAAGAAGCUGCUGCCAAUUUCCAGAGACUUCAGACUGGCACCCGAAGAGUCCACAGGUGUGAGCCACAGUGACUGCCUACUGAUUGAGUCUGGGGAUCCUUGUGAACCGCCUGAACAAUGCUGGGAAAUGCCUGUGCCUGAGUGACCCCAGCUAUGGCCAGUACUCAAUUACUACUUUGGCCUUUUGGUACUGUCCCAAAAGAAGCUGCUAUCCUGAAUUCAGUGGCCAGGGACUAUCGGCAACUGAAAGCAUUUAACAGUAUAGGAUAAAGACUUAGAAGAGUCCCCUGUGAGUGGAAUCAGGCACUGUCAGCUUCCCAUGGCACAUGUGAUGUGGAUUCCUUGUGAUGACACUGUGAUCUUCAGCUCUCAAGCCAUUGAGAACCUGAAAAGAAAUGGGACCAGAAACAAUAGAGGAAUGAAAAUAUAGGAGAAGGGUUUAAGGAUCCAGAGUUCCAGGGAGCUGUCUUCAGGGCUGAGAACUGUAACACUAAUCCCUGUACAGGAUUUCUCAGACACUGGAUCACCAGCCAGACAGCAUACACCAGCUGAUAUGAGGCCACCAACACAUAUACAAGAGAGAACUGCCAGCAUUCAGUUAGACACACAUGAUGUCUACUUCCCUGACUGACUCUACCUAAUUUUAAAGCAAAACCAUAUCUUAUCAUGGUUAAUUUCCCACUGAAACUGAGUUUAGAUUUCAUUGCCUAAUUGAAAGGAAUUUUGAACUCAUCAUAUAAAAUCAAGUAAUGU